UACGAAGGGGGCUAGCGUUGUUCAGAAUCACUGGGCGUAAAGGGCGCGUAGGCGGCUUUAUAAGUCGGGGGUGAAAGCCUGUGGCUCAACCACAGAAUUGCCUUCGAUACUGUAGAGCUUGAGACCGGAAGAGGUAAGUGGAACUGCGAGUGUAGAGGUGAAAUUCGUAGAUAUUCGCAAGAACACCAGUGGCGAAGGCGGCUUACUGGUCCGGUUCUGACGCUGAGGCGCGAAAGCGUGGGGAGCAAACAGG
This 253-nucleotide ribosomal RNA is filed under the name uncultured bacterium. RNAcentral describes it as "partial 16S ribosomal RNA". It matches the Rfam family "Bacterial small subunit ribosomal RNA", at positions 524 to 776 of the family's 1533-position model. The record is from RNAcentral.